AUGAACGCUGGCGGCGCGCCUAACACAUGCAAGUCGAACGGCACCCCUCUCCGGAGGGAAGCGAGUGGCGAACGGCUGAGUAACACGUGGAGAACCUGCCCCCUCCCCCGGGAUAGCCGCCCGAAAGGACGGGUAAUACCGGAUACCCCGGGGUGCCGCAUGGCACCCCGGCUAAAGCCCCGACGGGAGGGGAUGGCUCCGCGGCCCAUCAGGUAGACGGCGGGGUGACGGCCCACCGUGCCGACAACGGGUAGCCGGGUUGAGAGACCGACCGGCCAGAUUGGGACUGAGACACGGCCCAGACUCC
This 307-nucleotide ribosomal RNA is filed under the name uncultured Collinsella sp. RNAcentral's name for it is "bacterial SSU rRNA". It matches the Rfam family "Bacterial small subunit ribosomal RNA", at positions 29 to 339 of the family's 1533-position model. Lineage: Bacteria; Bacillati; Actinomycetota; Coriobacteriia; Coriobacteriales; Coriobacteriaceae. The record is from RNAcentral.